GUCAGAGGUGGAAGCGUGGUAACAUGUGGAGCUGACUGAUACUAAUCGUUCGAGGACUUAACCAAUUU
Molecule: ribosomal RNA, 68 nt
Filed under: Rhodococcus qingshengii
Lineage: Bacteria; Bacillati; Actinomycetota; Actinomycetes; Mycobacteriales; Nocardiaceae
Description: partial 23S ribosomal RNA
Source: RNAcentral